AUGACGAUUGCAGGAGAUGCGCCCAAGGCCGUGUGGCAGAAGGGCGAGCCGAAGGAAUAAGCGCAGUGUAAGGCCGAAUCUGCGCGAAUAUCUCAGGCAAAGGGACUGUAAUCUGACG
Molecule: non-coding RNA, 118 nt
Filed under: Clostridium sp.
Lineage: Bacteria; Bacillati; Bacillota; Clostridia; Eubacteriales; Clostridiaceae
Also listed under: 1 other name
Description: Glycine sequence
Rfam family: Glycine riboswitch aptamer
About the family: This family represents the bacterial glycine riboswitch. Glycine riboswitches usually consist of two metabolite-binding aptamers domains with similar structures in tandem.
Source: RNAcentral